UGGGGAAUAUUGGACAAUGGGCGAAAGCCUGAUCCAGCCAUGCCGCGUGUGUGAAGAAGGUCUUCGGAUUGUAAAGCACUUUAAGUUGGGAGGAAGGGCAGUAAGCGAAUACCUUGCUGUUUUGACGUUACCGACAGAAUAAGCACCGGCUAACUCUGUACCAGCAGCCGCGGUAAUACAGAGGGUGCAAGCGUUAAUCGGAAUUACUGGGCGUAAAGCGCGCGUAGGUGGUUCGUUAAGUUGAAUGUGAAAGCCCCGGGCUCAACCUGGGAACUGCAUCCAAAACUGGCGAGCUAGAGUAGGGCAGAGGGUGGUGGAAUUUCCUGUGUAGCGGUGAAAUGCGUAGAUAUAGGAAGGAACACCAGUGGCGAAGGCGACCACCUGGGCUCAUACUGACACUGAGGUGCGAAAGCGUGGGGAGCAAACAGG
This 429-nucleotide ribosomal RNA is filed under the name Pseudomonadota bacterium. RNAcentral's name for it is "Proteobacteria bacterium partial 16S ribosomal RNA". It matches the Rfam family "Bacterial small subunit ribosomal RNA", at positions 355 to 776 of the family's 1533-position model. The record is from RNAcentral. Lineage: Bacteria; Pseudomonadati; Pseudomonadota.